This 500-nucleotide unclassified non-coding RNA is filed under the name Hevea brasiliensis (rubber tree). The record is from RNAcentral. Lineage: Eukaryota; Viridiplantae; Streptophyta; Magnoliopsida; Malpighiales; Euphorbiaceae.
UUUGAAGAAGUAUAUGAUGUAGAGAAAUUUGUGAAAAGCCUGGAUGGGGUAAUCAAAGUGGUCAAGGAUCUACCUGAUGAUAUAUCAAUUCGAGAUUUUGCUGUUGUCAAGGUCCCUAAUCGUGUUACAGAAGAUCACAUUGCAGAAUUAGUUGAACCAAUCUUUAGAACGAAGGGGAACAUAAGACUGGCUACUUACUUCCCCUCAGUAAAUAUGAGAAAGACCACACUAAAAAGUAACACUGAUUCAGUUGCGUGUUUAGCAAUGUUUGGAACUUUAGAGUUGCAGCCAGAGGUUAAUGAAGUUGUUGACUCCAUGAUCGAGCGGUUAAAAACCCUGAGUCGCAAGUCUGAUGGCCGGUUUAUAGCUGUGGACUUGAGAGUUGAGAUAUUGGAAAAGAAGAGUUGCCAUGGAAGUGGUGCUGGUGGAGUAAAAACUUGUUAUGAUGCUAAAGAGAUCGCCCUGUUUUUAAGAAAGAUUGGAUUUGACAAGGAUACCAC